GACGAACGCUGGCGGCGCGCUUAACACAUGCAAGUCGAACGGAAAGGCCUGCUUUCCCUUGUGGAUUGCGGGUACUCGAGUGGCGAACGGGUGAGUAACACGUGAGUGAUCUGCCCCCAACUUGGGUAUAAGCCUGGGAAACUGGGUCUAAUUCCCGAUAGGACUGCAGGGUGGUGCCUGUGGUGGAAAACGAUUUUCUAGUGGUUGGGGAUGAGCUCGCGGCCUAUCAGCUUGUUGGUGGGGUAAUGGCCUACCAAGGCGGCGACGGGUAGCCGGCCUGGGAGGGUGGACGGGCACAUUGGGACUGAGAUACGGCCCAGACCCCUACGGGAGGCAGCAGUGGGGAAUAUUGCACAAUGGGCGGAAGCCUGAUGCAGCGACGCCGCGUGGGGGAUGACGGCCUUCGGGUUGUAAACUCCUUUCGACCGCGAGGAAGCCACCUGGUUGGAAGGGUGGUGACGGUAGUGGUAGAAGAAGCACCGGCUAACUACGUG
Molecule: ribosomal RNA, 494 nt
Filed under: uncultured bacterium
Lineage: Bacteria
Description: partial 16S ribosomal RNA
Rfam family: Bacterial small subunit ribosomal RNA
Source: RNAcentral